UACGGAGGGUGCAAGCGUUAUCCGGAUUCACUGGGUUUAAAGGGUGCGUAGGAGGGCAGGUAAGUCAGUGGUGAAAUCCCCAAGCUUAACUUGGGAACUGCCGUUGAUACUAUCUGUCUUGAAUACCGUGGAGGUGAGCGGAAUAUGUCAUGUAGCGGUGAAAUGCUUAGAUAUGACAUAGAACACCAAUUGCGAAGGCAGUUCGCUACACGAAUAUUGACUCUGAGGCACGAAAGCGUGGGGAUCAAACAGG
Molecule: ribosomal RNA, 253 nt
Filed under: uncultured bacterium
Lineage: Bacteria
Description: partial 16S ribosomal RNA
Rfam family: Bacterial small subunit ribosomal RNA
Source: RNAcentral